RNAcentral lists this ribosomal RNA (648 nucleotides) under uncultured bacterium. Its description in RNAcentral is "bacterial SSU rRNA". It matches the Rfam family "Bacterial small subunit ribosomal RNA", at positions 505 to 1153 of the family's 1533-position model. The record is from RNAcentral.
GUGCCAGCCGCCGCGGUAAUACGUAGGUGGCAAGCGUUGUCCGGAUUUAUUGGGCGUAAAGCGAGCGCAGGCGGUUUCUUAAGUCUGAUGUGAAAGCCCCCGGCUCAACCGGGGAGGGUCAUUGGAAACUGGGAGACUUGAGUGCAGAAGAGGAGAGUGGAAUUCCAUGUGUAGCGGUGAAAUGCGUAGAUAUAUGGAGGAACACCAGUGGCGAAGGCGGCUCUCUGGUCUGUAACUGACGCUGAGGCUCGAAAGCGUGGGGAGCGAACAGGAUUAGAUACCCUGGUAGUCCACGCCGUAAACGAUGAGUGCUAAGUGUUGGAGGGUUUCCGCCCUUCAGUGCUGCAGCAAACGCAUUAAGCACUCCGCCUGGGGAGUACGACCGCAAGGUUGAAACUCAAAGGAAUUGACGGGGGCCCGCACAAGCGGUGGAGCAUGUGGUUUAAUUCGAAGCAACGCGAAGAACCUUACCAGGUCUUGACAUCCUUUGACCACUCUAGAGAUAGAGCUUCCCCUUCGGGGGCAAAGUGACAGGUGGUGCAUGGUUGUCGUCAGCUCGUGUCGUGAGAUGUUGGGUUAAGUCCCGCAACGAGCGCAACCCUUAUUGUUAGUUGCCAUCAUUUAGUUGGGCACUCUAGCGAGACUGCC